This 84-nucleotide transfer RNA is filed under the name bacterium ADurb.Bin429. Its description in RNAcentral is "tRNA-Arg". The record is from RNAcentral.
CGCGAGGACGGGCCGGAUUUCGUCUUCUUCGAGGGGCCGCCGACGGCGAACGGCAAGCCGGGCGUGCAUCACGUCCUCUCGCGG